GACGAACGCUGGCGGCGUGCCUAAUACAUGCAAGUCGAACGCUGAAGGAGGAGCUUGCUUCUCUGGUUGAGUUGCGAACGGGUGAGUAACGCGUAGGUAACCUGCCUGUUAGUGUGGGAUAACUUCUGGAAACGAUAGCUAAUACCGCAUAAUAGUAGAUGCUGCAUGACAUUUGCUUAAAAGUUGCAAUUGCUUCACUACCAGUUGCACCUUCGUUGUAUUAGCUUGUUGGUGUGGUAACGGCUCACCAAGGCGACGAUACGGAGCCGACCUGAGAGGGGGAGUGGCCGCACUGGGAGGGAGACAGGGCCCAGACGGCUAGGGGAGGGAGCAGGAGGGAAUCGUGGGGAAUGGGCGGAAGUCAGACCAGGAAAGGCGGAGGGAGUGAAGAAGGUUGUCGGGUCGGAAAGGUCGGUUGUAAGGGAAGAAAGAGUGUGAGAGUGGAAAGAACACAGUGUGACGGUAACUGACAAGGAAGGGACGGCUAACUACGUG
RNAcentral lists this ribosomal RNA (495 nucleotides) under uncultured bacterium. RNAcentral describes it as "partial 16S ribosomal RNA". It matches the Rfam family "Bacterial small subunit ribosomal RNA", at positions 28 to 507 of the family's 1533-position model. The record is from RNAcentral.